CUUGGUCAUUUAGAGGAAGUAAAAGUCGUAACAAGGUUGUCCGUAGGUGAACCUGGAGAAGGAUCGUU
Molecule: ribosomal RNA, 68 nt
Filed under: uncultured fungus
Lineage: Eukaryota; Fungi
Description: partial 18S ribosomal RNA
Source: RNAcentral